Molecule: long non-coding RNA, 2370 nt
Organism: Hevea brasiliensis (rubber tree)
Lineage: Eukaryota; Viridiplantae; Streptophyta; Magnoliopsida; Malpighiales; Euphorbiaceae
Exons: 4
Source: RefSeq, a predicted model, not a curated record
UGGACCGAUUAUCCAACCUCUGAGUCUUUAUUGUGUCGAACCAGCCCUUGAGAAGAGUUGUUUGAACUUGGGUCGCAUCAGCCCAACAGAAGCCCAUAACACGUACGCAUGAGCAUGGUUGGGUUGGCUGGCGGGAGGUCGAUGCCUGCUGGCGAUCGAAAUGUUUGUCCCAUGAACUAGUGCUCGAUUUUUGGGGUUUCAAAUGGAGAAUUUUUAUGACUUCGAACUUCAUUUUCGAGUGGUUUGUGAGUUAAUGGUAUGUGAAAUGACGAGUCAUCAUCACCGUCGCCAGUUGUUGUUUUUGGUCACGGCGCUGGUGCCCGUUCUUAUUCCGAUUGAACGAUCAGAAAAAACAGGGGUCCUUCCAAAGCAGAGAAAUUGGUAGAGUUUCACAAAGAUAUUGUAUAAAAGACUGCUGGCCAUGAAUGGAGAUGUAAGGGAUGAGACGCUGUUGAAAUUUGAAGUACUUGUAUUGUUUGUACAGUUUGUCCCCUUGACAAAUUGGAAGCUGCUUACAAGAAGAUGAAAUACCUGUGAUCAACGGUGGUGACAGCUUUCAAAGUUGCCAAAAUGCAUCUUCAGACAAAGGGGUUAACCGUUAACCCAAGAUGAAGCUGAAGAUCGUGCCAUUCAGGCUGUUGCUCAUUUGUUUCCAGGUGUCUCUGAGGAAGUUUAAUUUACUGCCUUGGAUUGAUUUCUUUCUUUCUUUCUUUCUUUUUUAACCACUGUCACCUUUAUAGUUUCAUGAGGACUGACAAACUAAUUUAUAUGCAUAUUGUAAUUUCAUUAGAUUUAGCACAGGUGUGGCAUACGAGUCAGCAUUGAUGCUGUUCUUGGGCUUACCUGACUAUUUCUGCCUCAAAAAGUUGCGCUGUAUUUUUAUGUCCAGGCUAUGAAAUUAAUAGAGGAUAGGGCUCUUGCAUAGAGUUUCUUUUUUAAAGAUAUUGCUUCAUUUAAGGUCACAUAUAGUUGGUGUUGUCCUCGGCAUUCAAGAUUUUAUGAGACGUGGUUCACUAAUGAAGUAAAAUCCUGUCGUGUAGUAUCAGAAUUUACGAUGCGUAACUCCAUGGAUUUUGAGCCCCUCAAUAUCCAGAUAUCAUGAUUUUAACUGCUGACUUGAGGAUUCAAAGAAAUUUUGAGAUUAAGAAGCCAUGCAUUUGCAGAUGAUCAUGAGCUUAACUUUUCUGCUUGGAAAGUGGAGAUAUACUAUUCAUGGAACACACGAUACAACAUCACGUCAUACAUAGGACUCAACAAAUUGGUACAGCUACAAGUCUUCACCGGCCAACACUAGUUCACCUUUAUUUAUGUGUCAUGCUAUAUUUUAUUUUUUUCCCCUACCUUUAUUUGCAGAUAAUGUUGGUAGGCACUCUCACUUGACUCGAUUUCUCAUUUCUGUAAAUAUUGAACAGACAAAAAAAAGUUUAAUUAGCUCACAGUUUAUAUUGAUGAUAUAAUACUAGCUAUAUUUUUCAAAAUCCAGAGUAAUUAGCUAACAAUGCAUGCCUUUUGUGUUCCUCGGCAACUCUUUAGUCACUGUCGCUGCUGCUGCUGUCCUCCUUCUUCUUAUGUCCACGCUUCUCCUUCUUCUUACCCUCGCUUUUCUUUUCCUUCUUCUCUUUCUUUUCCUUCUUAUCCUUCUUUUCUUUCUUCUCCUUUUUUUCCUUCUUGUCUUUUAUUUUCUUUUCACUCUUUGCAGGGCAAGCCAUGACGCUGGAUUCACGGUGGUGCUCCUGGUUGCCGUGGGUCUGGCUUUGACAUGGUUGAGUUAGGGAUUUGGCCAUCUGGUGGCCCUUGUCUUGUCCUUGGCUCUUGCUGUGCUCAUCAUGGGUGUGCGUUUGGGCAAGGCUAGCCUGGUGGUGUUCUUGGAGGCUGGUUUCCUCAGCGGGUUUUUGGAUUUGCACCGAUGCCAUGAUGGUUUGAGGCAAAAGGGUAGUUCUGUUGAGUUUUCUCGAGCCUUGCUGGUUAUUGCCUGUUAUUAGAAAUCAACAUGGAAACCUAGAUUUAUAGGAAGUGAGUGAGUGGGAUUCCUUCAAUUAUACAUCAUCCUUUGAAUCUGCUUUUGCAGGAUGGGCUAGUAGCAUCUUUACUGGAGAAGAUUAUAUUGCUUUCUUAUCCGAAUUAUUUAGCAGAGAAUAAAUGCAAAAAAAUUUUUUCCUCUGCCAAUGACGUUCAAAUUGUAAGUUGUUCUUCGUCUUUUCCUCCAUAUUCAAACAUGGCUCCCAGAAAUGUUGAUGGGUAUCAAAUUAUGUGCCGUGAAAAGUGUAAAGUGUGCUGUCUUGAGCCUUUUUCUGAGAAUCUGACUGUAAAUAUAGGUUACAUAUUCUCUUCAGAAAUGUGAAAAGAAUUCCUCCUGUAAGGUGACUGUAA